RNA transcript from Nycticebus coucang (slow loris), 1472 nucleotides. RefSeq lists it as uncharacterized. The record is from RefSeq and is a predicted model, not a curated record. NCBI's taxonomy places the organism in Eukaryota, Metazoa, Chordata, Mammalia, Primates, Lorisidae. The transcript is spliced from 4 exons.
AUGGAUCAGCCUGGCCUAGAAGCUGCCCAGCACCUAAAGGAAGAAACUGACGUGCAAGCAGAAAAUUACCAUAUAGUGCGACCUGUGCUGGAAAAGAGGUACACAGAGAACGCUGAGGGAGCAGUCAGCAGAUGGGCUCAGGGAGCUGAGCCAGGAAGAGCUGAGGUGGAAGGAGGGGCAGGAAGAGGGCAGCAGGGAGCCGGCUGGAGAGCUCAGCUUCCCAUCCAGCAAGUGCCUCAAAGCUGGCCUUCUAUCUCCAAAUGUUGGACAGACAGCCAUGGAGAUCCAUACAUCUUCAUUGCUCGUCAAUGUGGCAAUUCCCAGAUUGUCUCUGUUCGGGACCACUCUCCUGACCUCAAGAUGCAUCCACUCAGUGGAGUGGAUGGUUCCACUGUAGUACAAGCCUGGGAAAGAGAUAAUAAAGGGUUGGAAUUGCAUCUCUAUGAAGGUAUCAGGGACAUGUUUCAAAAGGAAUCAAAACAGGAGUUACACAAGGGGUUGGAUAUCGGGAAUGAGAAGAUGAGGGGCCUUCCAGGGGUAACCAGGCCUUCUGACGUCAUGGAAACCAAGAUGCUGUCCCCACUUCCUGUUCUUCCGACGGAGCAGACCCUUUUGCCAUGGUUUCCUGCUUCAACAGUGCUUGGACGGAACCUGGAGCUCGACCCCCAUCCCGGCCGGCCGCUCACAGCCAGCCUUCCGACACCUCCUCACCGCUCCCUGAGACCGUCCCAAGGCCCACACCGCCACUCCAGUGCUGCGCAGCCCCUGCCUCUCCUCAGCUGCCACCAUGAUGACCACAUCCCCCUUGCAGGUGCGCCAGAACUACUACCAGGACUCUGAGGCCGCCAUCAACCGCCAGAUCAACCUGGAGCUCUACGCCUCCUACGUCUACCUGUCCAUGUCUUACUACUUUGACCGCGAUGAUGUGGCUUUGAAGAAUUUUGCCAAAUACUUUCUUUACCAAUCUCAUGAGGAGAGGGAACAUGCUGAGAAACUGAUGAUGCUGCAGAAUCAAUGAGGUAGCCGAAACUUCCUUCAGGCUAUCAAAAAACCAGACUGCGAUGACUGGGAGAGUGGGCUGAAUGCGAUGGAGUGUGCGUUACACUUGGAAAAAAAUGUGAAUCAGUCACUACUGGAACUGCACAAACUGGCCACUGACAAAAAUGACCCUCACUUGUGUGACUUCAUUGAGACACAUUACCUGAAUGAACAGGUGAAAUCCAUUAAAGAACUGGGUAACCACGUAACCAACCUGCGCAAGAUGGGAGCCCCUGAAUCUGGCAUGGCAGAGUAUCUCUUUGAAAAGCACACCCUGGGAGACAGUGAUAAUGAGAACUAAGCCUUAGGCUAACUUCCCCAUAGUCACGGGGUGACUUCUGUGAUCACCAAGGUAGUGCAUGCACUUCAGGGUUUCCUUUACCUUUUCUCUAAGUUGUACCAAAACAUCCACUUAAGUUCUUUAAUUUGUACCA